This is a non-coding RNA of Cinara cedri, 340 nucleotides long. Lineage: Eukaryota; Metazoa; Arthropoda; Insecta; Hemiptera; Aphididae. The record is from the annotation of a GenBank genome assembly.
CCGAAUCGUGCGCAGUGGAAUUUCGAGUGCACAGCAAACGUUGUCGGCAUUUGUCUUUUACUUUUUAUAGCUGCUUAAGCUUUUUUAAGUUCCUCGCGACACGGAUACUUAAACAGCAACCUAGGCUCACCCCCUCUCCCCCUGAAUAACACGCAAGCAGUAGCAUCACUCAGGUCACUGACCUAACCGCAGUACUCUACUCUACUGUACCAAUCGUGCGCACGGGGAGAGGCAGGAGAGGUAGCUACCUCCCUUGCGAGAUUUUCCGGUGAAAUAUUUUUCGAAAAAACAUGUUACAUGUGUCAUGUAUACGAAUUUAUUUUAAAUAUUAAAUCCUAAC